Non-coding RNA from Paramuricea clavata, 214 nucleotides. The record is from the annotation of a GenBank genome assembly. NCBI's taxonomy places the organism in Eukaryota, Metazoa, Cnidaria, Anthozoa, Malacalcyonacea, Plexauridae.
CAGGAAUCAUUAAUAUACACAUCGCAACAGAUGUAAAAACUUGGUUGACGACAUAUUCACUUGAAGGAAAUUCUACUAUAACGAGAUGUGUGUAACCGGCUAUCGAACACUCUUUAAUGUGGUUGGAUGUUGUAUUAUUUAUUUCCAUUUCUUUAGUGCUACUUGAAUUUUAAUUUCGUUCUUUAAUUUCUUCAAUUCUGGAGUGAUGUCGAUC